Molecule: ribosomal RNA, 529 nt
Filed under: uncultured bacterium
Lineage: Bacteria
Description: bacterial SSU rRNA
Rfam family: Bacterial small subunit ribosomal RNA
Source: RNAcentral
UGGGGAAUCUUGGACAAUGGGGGCAACCCUGAUCCAGCCAUGCCGCGUGAGUGAUGAAGGCCUUAGGGUCGUAAAGCUCUUUCGCCUGUGAAGAUAAUGACGGUAGCAGGUAAAGAAACCCCGGCUAACUCCGUGCCAGCAGCCGCGGUAAUACGGAGGGGGUUAGCGUUGUUCGGAAUUACUGGGCGUAAAGCGCACGUAGGCGGACCAGAAAGUUGGGGGUGAAUCCCGGGGGCUCAACCCCGGAACUGCCUCCAAAACUAUUGGUCUAGAGUUCGAGAGAGGUGAGUGGAAUUCCAAGUGUAGAGGUGAAAUUCGUAGAUAUUUGGAGGAACACCAGUGGCGAAGGCGGCUCACUGGCUCGAUACUGACGCUGAGGUGCGAAAGUGUGGGGAGCAAACAGGAUUAGAUACCCUGGUAGUCCACACCGUAAAACGAUGAAUGCCAGUCGUCGGGUAGCAUGCUAUUCGGUGACACACCUACGGAUUAAGCAUUCCGCCUGGGGAGUACGGUCGCAAGAUUAAAACUC